Molecule: ribosomal RNA, 370 nt
Filed under: uncultured bacterium
Lineage: Bacteria
Description: bacterial SSU rRNA
Rfam family: Bacterial small subunit ribosomal RNA
Source: RNAcentral
GGGCCCGCACAAGCGGUGGAGUAUGUGGUUUAAUUCGAUGCAACGCGAAGAACCUUACCAGGGUUUGACAUCCUGCGAAUCUCUUGGAAACAGGAGAGUGCCUUCGGGAACGCAGUGACAGGUGGUGCAUGGCUGUCGUCAGCUCGUGUCGUGAGAUGUUGGGUUAAGUCCCGCAACGAGCGCAACCCACGUCUUUAGUUGCCAGCAUUUAGUUGGGCACUCUAGAGAGACUGCCGGUAAUAAACCGGAGGAAGGUGUGGAUGACGUCAAGUCAUCAUGCCCUUACAUCCUGGGCUACACACGUACUACAAUGCUACGGACAAAGGGCUGCAAGUUCGCGAGGACAAGCAAAUCCCAUAAACCGUGGCUC